Molecule: ribosomal RNA, 257 nt
Filed under: uncultured bacterium
Lineage: Bacteria
Description: partial 16S ribosomal RNA
Rfam family: Bacterial small subunit ribosomal RNA
Source: RNAcentral
UACGUAGGGGUGCAAGCGUUUGUCCCGGAAUUAUUGGGCGUAAAGAGCUCGUAGGCGGUUUGUUGCGUCGGCUGUGAAAUCCCGAGGCUCAACCUCGGGUCUGCAGUCGAUACGAGCAAACUAGAGUGUUGCAGGGGAGACUGGAAUUCCGUGGUGUAGCGGUGAAAUGCGCAGAUAUCAGGAGGAACACCGGUGGCGAAGGCGGGUCUCUGGGCAACAACUGACGCUGAGGAGCGAAAGCGUGGGGAGCGAACAGG